AUGUUGAAUAUACACAAUUCUAUUUAUUUUGUCCCCUUAGGCAAGCUCUCAUUUUCAUCUGUAACUACUGAAAAAUCACUGACAAAACCUGGAGUUGUUAAACCAGUCACUGCAACAUCCAGAUUUACAGAUGAAGAAAUCCACCAUAAUCCUUUCAUGAACCUUCAAGGCAACAAAUCUAAUUGUUACCAAUACAAGUUUGUCAGCAGUGUGCUCUGUGGUGAAAUCCAAGCAGAUGGUAGAGGUGCUUCAGACCGGCAGCCAGCUUGUGGAGAGGGGCUUCCUUCAGAGCGACAAGGAGACUGUAAGACAAGACUGGCAUCUCUGAUCACACAGACCAGGAUCUGCACAGAAAAUGUUCCCACCGCCAUGAAGCCCCAUUCAUUCAGUAAUAAAUUUAUGCCAUGUUCAAGACACUUAUCUGUACUGAUUGAACUCAGAAAUGCAAAUCAAAAAAAUUCAAAACAUAACAUCGUCUAUAAUAAUAUUCAUGUCUAGAUUCUGUGGGUUUUGACAUCCAUCUCUUAUGGCUUCUUUCUCCAAGAACUCACUCUAAAAUACACUUCCUUGCAAAAACCCCAAAGAUAUUUCAUGUCUGGUCUUUUUUACCUCACAAUCAUUUUUCAUUUAGAGCACAAAAUAGGUCUGAUAUUUGAUUACUUAUAUAGCCAUUUACUGCAGAUAUGCAGUUCUGUCAAAAGCUGCAUUAAUGGUGCCUGAAAAAAAAAAAAAAAAAAAAAAAUCAAUACUGGACCAGUCAAUACUUGUCUGUGUGAUUCUGAUACUCUGUUAAUAUAAUAUAAUAUAAUAUAAUAUAAUAUAAUAUAAUAUAAUAUAAUAUAAUAUAAUAUAAUAUAAUAUAAUAUAAUAUAAUAUAAUAUAAUAUAAUAUUCUCCCCACAGAUCUUUUUUUGUUUAUCAAUAUUUCUGGGUUGUCUUGAUAGCACAGCUUUCUUUAGUUUAUGCCACAGCAUCACAUUUGUAUGGUGGCCGAGAGAGCUCAACGUGUUGCAAAAAAAAAAAAAAAAAAAAAAAAAAAAAACCAUCUUUAUCAGUUUACUCCUUAUGUACUUUGGAUAAUUGUCUUGUUGCAUCACACAACCUCUGUAAAGCUUGAAGUCAUGAACUUCAGUCCCAACAAUCUCUUGUAAAAUGUCUUUAUAUAUUUUAUAAUUCCUUGUUCCUUCAAUGACUAAAAAAAGUAUCCAGACCCUGAGGCUGCAAAGCAACACAGAUGGGAAGAGGUUGUGGUAUGGUGUUGUGACAAUGUCAAAAUAAAUUAAUUAAAUUACAAUGAAUUGUUCA
This is a long non-coding RNA of Cyprinus carpio (common carp), 1304 nucleotides long. The record is from Ensembl. Lineage: Eukaryota; Metazoa; Chordata; Actinopteri; Cypriniformes; Cyprinidae.